This is an RNA transcript of Tachysurus fulvidraco (yellow catfish), 2514 nucleotides long. RefSeq lists it as uncharacterized. Lineage: Eukaryota; Metazoa; Chordata; Actinopteri; Siluriformes; Bagridae. The record is from RefSeq and is a predicted model, not a curated record. The transcript has 4 exons.
CUAAUUCUUAUUAUAUUGUCUUGAACAACCCAAAAUUCUGUUUUGCUUCAUUACCUUAUUAUUAUUUUUUUAGACAACUAAUUUCUAAAUUCUAAUCAUUCUGACCUACAUGCACUUACAUGCACCAAACACAGGAAUGCCCCCCCUCCCCCACUCUGGUCAUGCUGGAGAGUCCACCUCCGUGUUUUGGACUUGAUUUAGCCAGGUGUGGCGACAUUUAGGAGGAAUGGAGCUCGACCUUUAACCUCCUUGGCCGUGAUCUUAGUCUGUUACUUCUUCUUUGUGGGCGGAACACAAGGAUGACGUGGGCUGCGUUUCCUGUCCUCCAUACGAGGCCAGGAUUAAACAUUUGACUCCUGUAUUUAUUAGACAAUAUCCUUUGUCACCUGAAAAAAGUGACUCAAAACGCCUCCACUGAACACGUGUGGCUCGGCCUGCGUCACGACUGCGCCCAGCGUGUCUGCUGGCAUUGACUCUAAUUUGAAUUCUCUUUUGCAACAGGGCGUUAUCACUCCAUGCGUCAGCCCAUACAAUACACCUGUCAAUCCUGUUCCAAAACCAGAUGGUUCGUGGAGGUUCACACAAGACCUGAGAACGAUAAAUGAACUGAUUAUUCCUGUUGCUCCAAUUGUCCCUGAUGUAUCCUCAAUUAUAGCCUCUAUUCCAUGUACAUAUAGAGUCUUUUCUGUGAUUGACCUUUGUUCUGCUUUCUUUAGUGUUCCUGUAGGGAAAGACACACAGCCACUCUUUGCCUUCACACACAGGGGACGGCAGUAUACGUGGACCAGGUUGCCACAGGGUUACAUCGAUUCCCCCGCAGGCUUCGCGACCACGGUCAAGAACGCCCUGUCAAGCCUCUGCCUUCCCCCAGACUCAGUGGUCUUACAAUAUGCAGGUGACCUCUUGGUGGCUGCGGCCGAUUAUGACACCUGCCAAGCAGCGACCCUGGCUCUACUCACACACCUGGCUGAGAAAGGUUUUAAGGUGUCCAAGUCAAAACUCCAGUUCUGCCAGAACACUGUCCGCUACCUUGCGACCUUGUACGUUUCUUUCUAAAUCCCUCGACUCUGUGGCUCAGGGUUUGCCUGCCUGUCUACGUGCUGUUGCCGCCUGUGAUCUGAUGGUAACUGAUGCUGAAAAGAUCGUUUUAUCUCAUCCUUUGAUCUUACACACCUCACAUCAGGUAACGCAAAUUUUACACAAUUUAAACACACAGCACAUGUCAUCCCAGCGACGUUCAGGAUAUGAGACCGUGUUAUUGGCCACUGAGCAUUUAACUGUACGUCCAUCAUCCUCUCUUUACACUGUAGCGCAAUGCCUUGCAGUGCCUUCUUAAUGCACAGGAUGAUUGUAUGGGUGAAUCUGAUCAUGAUUGCCUUACUGAAAUAGUCAAUGCCACUAGCAUUCGCCCUGACCUCUCCUCCGUUCCCCUACAGACAGGCAGCUGAACUCUUCGCUCUCACUCGUGCCUGUGUUCUCGCUGAGGACGCUGACGUCACUAUUUACACUGACUCUCGUUAUGCCUUCAGAGUAGCUCAUGAUUUUGGCCUCAUCUGGCAAUCUCGUGGGUUCACUGCAGCUAACGGCAAGCCUAUCUCCCAUGCCUCGUUAGUGAAGGAUUUAAUCACUGCCUGUCAUCUGCCUCGUUCUGUGGCCAUUGUUAAAACUAGGGCGCAUUCCUCUGGUGACACCGAUGAAGUGCGAGGGAGCAGUCUCGCUGACCGAAUGGCUAAACAGGCUGCGGCCUCACGCACACUUCCCCAAACCUAUCUCCAGCCAUGGUUUCUGUUAACUCCAUGAUCAGUGCUGUUCUACCUGACAUGGAUCUCCCUUCGCUGCAGGCUUCAGCUUCGCCUGCUGACCACGAAUUUUGGACUAGUCAGGGUGCGACUGAUUCCUAUGUUAUUCUAGAUAACAAGGGCCGUGUCUGUCUACCGCGACAUUGUACUCCUUUUCUCGUCCGCGAGUUUCAUGGCCCCACUCAUCGCGGACGAAGAGGGGUGUUACAGGACUUAUCUGAGGUUUUUUUGUAUUUUCCGCUUACACACAGAAGUGAAUAGAAUAUUAGACGGAUGCUUAAUAUGCGCACAGAAAAACAUUUCAAACAAGUGGCUUUGGAUCACCUGUCUCCCUAUGAGCUCGUGAUGGGGAGAUCAUUUCUCCAACCUUGGCGAAGAGGCAAACAGGCAUUGGGAACGGGGGACCUUGAUGUACACCUCAGCGAGUACUCUGCAGGGUUAAUUCAGAAGCUCAAUGAGUAUUGGGCACGGGUAAAUUCAAAACAACCCCAAAUUCCAAUUGGCAAUUCCUUUUAAGGUGGGAGAUUGUGUCUUGGUCAUAAAUUUGGGAAAAUUAGGCACGCCUUUGGAUGAGACCCCGUAUAGUGGACCUGCAGAAAUAGUCGCUGUGACUCGCACUGCUGUGUUAACUGAUCUUUUUCCACAGUGGAUCCACGCCUCCCGUCUAAAACCAGGCACGGGUUUGGAAAGAAGGAUCAUAAGUAAAAAGUCUGUC